AAAAAUCAAUAUAAAAACAAUACCAACAUUAGUAAUGAAGCAUAUAAGCAUGUAUGGGGUACUUGUAUUACUUAUCACAACAACAUCAAUUGCAACAGCAACAUCAACAGGUAAUUUCACAUAUUUUUUUAUCGUUAUCUAUAUAUGUGUAUCUAAGGAUUGUUUAAUAAAUGAAUCAUUUUAUUUUUUAUUGUUGAAUGAUUUUAGUGUUUUUUUACAAAUCACAAAAAGUAAAACUCUUUAAUUGUUAGAGGCCCUUUGAAGACUUUUGUUUUGUUCGUAGGUCUUUUAAAGACGAUAUUAAAUACAAUCAAUGAUCGAUUCAAUAUGAAAUGUGAAUGAUUUCACUAGUAUAUUAUCAAAAACCCAUAAAUCCUUUAUGGCUAUAAUGUAUUUUUUAUAACGAAGAAUGUGUAAUAUUGUGACUUGUUUCAGGUGUUGUGGAUACCGACGCGAAGAUAAUAAUCAGCUUUUGUCAUAUUUAUCUGAAUUGGGGAAGCAGUUGUCAAGAUAAUAAUUGCAAUGAUUAUUGUAGAAAAUUUAAGGGGAAAUUCGCAAAGGGGGAUUGCGAAAUGAUGGAUGGCUCAAUAAAGUGUCAUUGUGAAUGGAU
This 610-nucleotide long non-coding RNA is filed under the name Lactuca sativa (garden lettuce). Its description in RNAcentral is "long non-coding RNA (LSAT_LNC000237)". The record is from RNAcentral. Lineage: Eukaryota; Viridiplantae; Streptophyta; Magnoliopsida; Asterales; Asteraceae.